This 305-nucleotide microRNA precursor is filed under the name Prunus dulcis (almond). Its description in RNAcentral is "sRNA ncRNA". Lineage: Eukaryota; Viridiplantae; Streptophyta; Magnoliopsida; Rosales; Rosaceae. The record is from RNAcentral.
GAACUCGUUUCGCCGUGCUCUACGCAACGGCGCAAGCGGAACUACCAAAUUCUUUCUCGAUCAAAAAUUCAAUUUUUCCCCUAUUAAAUAAUGCGAUGGCAAAAUUGUUUUUUCGCUCAAAGAUAUUAAUCCUACUUUUUAUGUAAGACCCAAACCAAAAUAUCUAAAAAUUAAGAUUUCUUUAUUCUAGCCAAAAAACGAUUUUGCCCUCGCAUAUUUUAAAGGGGAAAAAUUUGACUUUUUGAUCGGAAAAGAAUUUGAGAAUUCCGUUUGCGCCGUUGCGUAGAGCACGGCGAAACGAGUCC